GUGGGGAAUUUUGGACAAUGGGCGCAAGCCUGAUCCAGCAAUGCCGCGUGCAGGAAGAAGGCCUUCGGGUUGUAAACUGCUUUUGUCAGGGAAGAAAUCUUCUGGGCUAAUACCCCGGGAGGAUGACGGUACCUGAAGAAUAAGCACCGGCUAACUACGUGCCAGCAGCCGCGGUAAUAAGUAGGGUGCGAGCGUUAAUCGGAAUUACUGGGCGUAAAGCGUGCGCAGGCGGCUUUGCAAGACAGAUGUGAAAUCCCCGGGCUCAACCUGGGAACUGCAUGUGUGACUGCAAGGCUAGAGUACGGCAGAGGGGGAUGGAAUUCCGCGUGUAGCAGUGAAAGGCGUAGAUAUGCGGAGGAACACCAAUGGCGAAGGCAAUCCCCUGGGCCUGUACUGACGCUCAUGCACGAAAGCGUGGGGAGCAAACAGGAUUAGAAACCCCAGUAGUCC
RNAcentral lists this ribosomal RNA (450 nucleotides) under uncultured bacterium. RNAcentral's name for it is "partial 16S ribosomal RNA". It matches the Rfam family "Bacterial small subunit ribosomal RNA", at positions 354 to 796 of the family's 1533-position model. The record is from RNAcentral.